CCAUGACUUCACUUUCUCUUUAAGGCUAGUUCUGCACUGUCAUAAAUACUGUUGUAUUCCUUCAUGCCUGGUGUAACUUUGUUUCAGGUUACCCAGUCUUCUCCCUUCAUGUUGCAAACCACGGAGGGAAGUAUUUAUGCUGGCUUUAUACCUGCUGCAGGGGACCUCAGCCAGCAGGGUGAUGCUGAGAUAUGGACAUACAGAACCUGAUUGGUCAUGAAGUCUGUGAAAACAUCACCUGGAAAAAUCUUUUAUUCUUUCCUGCCUUACAUCUCUCUCUGCUGAUGUUUCUCCAUAGCCCUUACUUGAGUGAAGGAGACAGGGAGAAAACAGGGUACAUAAGACACAACAUGUGAAAUAUGGAGUUUUACUCUACAAAAUUACUCCUAGCUUCAGCAAUGCCUGUCUCACUUGCUGAGUUGCUGGAUUUAAUGCCUGUUGGUCCAAGACAACUCUUGAACCUUUGUAUGUUCUAAGUUUCACCACAAGGAGAUAUCUGUGAUGCUGCUUCUCCAUCCAGGGAAGAUUCGCAACCCUCAUAGCCAUUCCAUGAACGAGGCUGCUUGGAGUUCACAUCUCACCAUCAUCUUGAGGUACUACUGGAAGAUAUCUGUCUAGGCCAACAUUAGCAAAGGAAGGAAAUUACAAGAACAUAUGGGAGUACCUGUCUUUCCCCUCAAAUUCAAUUACGGUGUUUCCUAGCAUAUAUGGAAUACUUAUCAUCCUUAUCUGAGUGCUUCCUUCCAAGCUAUUUUAACAGUUCUGUGCAGAAUUGCCAGGUCACAGUGUGAACCAACAGCUGAGCACCAGGUGAGAAGGCAUGGGUAACCCAGGGAGCUCAGAUGCAAGAAAUGCACUUGAAUGACUGGAAGGGGUGAAGCCUGGAUCCAAUCCUCUUCACCCUCAUUUAAGGGUUAGCAGCCAAGGGAGUAGCAUCUUUUUGGAUAGAUUGCACUCCUAUUGAGCUGUAACUGGUUGCUGGAUGGGAUGUGCUAAUUUUCCUUCUUUGUUACCUGCUUUUGCUCCACGGUGCCUGUAUUCCAUUAGAAGGCACUGUCAUUGCCUUUUUUGGCCAUACACACCUGUUUAGCUCCAGUUAGUUCACAAGCUUGUGCUCAAAAGUAGAAGACUUAAAGUAAUGCAGUCACUUUUGUCCAUGGAGAUUUACAAUUUUAAGUUAUGCACUUGUUUUGGCUAUAAUAUAUAGGAAUGUAUAUGGAUUAUUCCUCCCUCGUAUAGAGUUCAAGAUCAUGGAAAAAUCAUUUUUAAAAAAUCUUGAAAAAAGAACGCUGUGAAAGGGCUUCUGUAAGCUGUCAUGUUACUGCUCUGUCCUAGUGCAAUAAUGAUAACCUAAUGUUAUCUAUUUCAGGGAGAAAAAAUAAUAACAUAAAACAAGGGAUUUCCUUUAACAAGAUGUUUUAUUGGAGCUUCAGGUCCCAGAACAAAAUUAUAUGCAAGAAAUCAAAUGAGUCAGUCUUAGGAAGAAAGGUAGUUGCUGCCUAUGGCAGAGAGUAGCAUGGGGACAGGUAUAUCUGGCUUGCUUUUCUCUGACCUUUGCCAGCAUGCUGCCUGGUGUGCCAUGCUUUUUUGUUGUAGCUGAAGACCUGCCACCAUUUUCAUGGUCUGUUUAGACAAAUGUCUUGAUAUGUACUGUGAUCUUUGACACCCUCCACCACCUCUACCACUAUCAUAUCUAAUCAUAGGAGAUGGCUAUUCCUCAUUUAUCUGCAAUACUGGUUCCCCAUUUCCUCUGUACUCCUGUCACUCCACUGGGACUGGUUUAAAUUCAAGGUGGUUUAGUUUAAGGUGAUGUGCCAAUCACAGGAGUGCACUUGUAUCUCAGUAACUCUACAAUUCUUUAUUCUGUUAUUAUCAGUUAGAAAAUGCCUGCCUCUAAGUCUUCUGUGCUCUGUGAAUUUGUAGCCAAUAUCCACCUCAUUUGCUUUUUU
Long non-coding RNA from Numida meleagris (helmeted guineafowl), 1949 nucleotides. RefSeq lists it as uncharacterized. The record is from RefSeq and is a predicted model, not a curated record. NCBI's taxonomy places the organism in Eukaryota, Metazoa, Chordata, Aves, Galliformes, Numididae. The transcript has 3 exons.